This 253-nucleotide ribosomal RNA is filed under the name uncultured bacterium. Its description in RNAcentral is "partial 16S ribosomal RNA". It matches the Rfam family "Bacterial small subunit ribosomal RNA", at positions 524 to 776 of the family's 1533-position model. The record is from RNAcentral.
GACAGAGGGUGCGAACGUUGCUCGGAAUUACUGGGCGUAAAGCGCGUGUAGGCGGGUGAUCAAGUCAGAUGUGAAAUCCCUGGGCUCAACCCAGGAACUGCAUUUGAAACUGGUCGCCUUGAGUGUUGGAGAGGGAAGCGGAAUUCCUGGUGUAGAGGUGAAAUUCGUAGAUAUCAGGAGGAACACCGGUGGCGAAGGCGGCUUCCUGGACAACUACUGACGCUGAGACGCGAAAGCGUGGGGAGCAAACAGG